GGCCCUGCAUGUCUAGGUAUAAGCAUUAUACCGUGAAACUGCGAAUGGCUCAUUAAAUCAGUUAUCGUUUAUUUGAUAGUACCUUACUACUUGGAUAACCGUGGUAAUUCUAGAGCUAAUACAUGCUGAAAACCCCGACUUACGAAGGGGUGUAUUUAUUAGAUAAAAAACCAACGCCCUUCGGGGCUUCUUGGUGAUUCAUGAUAACUUUACGGAUCGCAUGGCCUUGCGCCGGCGACGGUUCAUUCAAAUUUCUGCCCUAUCAACUUUCGAUGGUAAGGUAUUGGCUUACCAUGGUUUCAACGGGUAACGGGGAAUUAGGGUUCGAUUCCGGAGAGGGAGCCUGAGAAACGGCUACCACAUCCAAGGAAGGCAGCAGGCGCGCAAAUUACCCAAUCCCGACACGGGGAGGUAGUGACAAUAAAUACUGAUACAGGGCUCUUUUGGGUCUUGUAAUUGGAAUGAGUACAAUUUAAACCUCUUAACGAGGAACAAUUGGAGGGCAAGUCUGGUGCCAGCAGCCGCGGUAAUUCCAGCUCCAAUAGCGUAUAUUAAAGUUGUUGCAGUUAAAAAGCUCGUAGUUGAACCUUGGGUCUGGCUGGCAGGUCCGCCUCACCGCGUGUACUUGUCCGGCCGGGCCUUCCUUCUGGAGAACCUCAUGCCCUUCACUGGGCGUGUUGGGGACCAGGACUUUUACUUUGAAAAAAUUAGAGUGUUCAAAGCAGGCCUUUGCUCGAAUACGUUAGCAUGGAAUAAUAGAAUAGGACGUGCGGUCCUAUUUUGUUGGUUUCUAGGACCGCCGUAAUGAUUAAUAGGGACAGUCGGGGGCAUCAGUAUUCAAUUGUCAGAGGUGAAAUUCUUGGAUUUAUUGAAGACUAACUACUGCGAAAGCAUUUGCCAAGGAUGUUUUCAUUAAUCAGUGAACGAAAGUUAGGGGAUCGAAGACGAUCAGAUACCGUCGUAGUCUUAACCGUAAACUAUGCCGACUAGGGAUCGGGCGAUGUUCUUUUUCUGACUCGCUCGGCACCUUACGAGAAAUCAAAGUUUUUGGGUCUGGGGGGAGUAUUCCCCCG
RNAcentral lists this ribosomal RNA (1073 nucleotides) under Shiraia sp. B17. RNAcentral describes it as "SSU rRNA". It matches the Rfam family "Eukaryotic small subunit ribosomal RNA", at positions 47 to 1133 of the family's 1831-position model. The record is from RNAcentral. Lineage: Eukaryota; Fungi; Ascomycota; Dothideomycetes; Pleosporales; Shiraiaceae.